GACGAACGCUGGCGGCGUGCUUAACACAUGCAAGUCGAACGGAAAGGCCCUGCUUUUGUGGGGUGCUCGAGUGGCGAACGGGUGAGUAACACGUGAGUAACCUGCCCUUGACUUUGGGAUAACUUCAGGGAACUGGGGCUAAUACCGGAUAGGAGCUCCUGCUGCAUGGUGGGGUUUGGAAAGUUUCGGCGGUUGGGGAUGGACUCGCGGCUUAUCAGCUUGUUGGUGGGGUAGUGGCUUACCAAGGGUUUGACGGGUAGCCGGCCUGAGAGGGUGACCGGCGACAUUGGGACUGAGAUACGGCCCAGACUCCUACGGGAGGCAGCAGUGGGGAAUAUUGCACAAUGGGCGGAAGCCUGAUGCAGCAACGCCGCGUGCGGGAUGACGGCCUUCGGGUUGUAAACCGCUUUCGCCUGUGACGAAGCGUGAGUGACGGUAAUGGGUAAAGAAGCACCGGCUAACUACGUG
Molecule: ribosomal RNA, 468 nt
Filed under: uncultured bacterium
Lineage: Bacteria
Description: partial 16S ribosomal RNA
Rfam family: Bacterial small subunit ribosomal RNA
Source: RNAcentral